ACUCAGUUGGUAGAGUACAAAGCUCUUAACAUUGUGGACGUGGGUUCAAGCCCCAU
Molecule: transfer RNA, 56 nt
Filed under: Triticum aestivum (bread wheat)
Lineage: Eukaryota; Viridiplantae; Streptophyta; Magnoliopsida; Poales; Poaceae
Rfam family: tRNA
About the family: Transfer RNA (tRNA) molecules are approximately 80 nucleotides in length. Their secondary structure includes four short double-helical elements and three loops (D, anti-codon, and T loops).
Source: Rfam by way of RNAcentral